This 253-nucleotide ribosomal RNA is filed under the name uncultured bacterium. Its description in RNAcentral is "partial 16S ribosomal RNA". It matches the Rfam family "Bacterial small subunit ribosomal RNA", at positions 524 to 776 of the family's 1533-position model. The record is from RNAcentral.
CACGUAGGGCGCGAGCGUUGUCCGGAAUUAUUGGGCGUAAAGAGCUCGUAGGCGGUCUGUUGCGUCCGCUGUGAAAACUCGGGGCUUAACCCCGAGCCUGCAGUGGAUACGGGCAGACUAGAGGUAGGUAGGGGAGAAUGGAAUUCCCGGUGUAGCGGUGAAAUGCGCAGAUAUCGGGAGGAACACCGGUGGCGAAGGCGGUUCUCUGGGCCUUACCUGGCGCUGAGGAGCGAAAGCGUGGGGAGCGAACAGG